RNAcentral lists this RNase P RNA (178 nucleotides) under Alphaproteobacteria bacterium. RNAcentral describes it as "partial RNase P RNA component class A". It matches the Rfam family "Bacterial RNase P class A", at positions 1 to 175 of the family's 367-position model. Rfam says of the family: Ribonuclease P (RNase P) is a ubiquitous endoribonuclease, found in archaea, bacteria and eukarya as well as chloroplasts and mitochondria. Its best characterised activity is the generation of mature 5'-ends of tRNAs by cleaving the 5'-leader elements of precursor-tRNAs. The record is from RNAcentral. Lineage: Bacteria; Pseudomonadati; Pseudomonadota; Alphaproteobacteria.
UCAGACGGCUGGAUGGCUGCGCUCGGCGGGCAACCGUCGGGUGAGGAAAGUCCGGGCUCCACGGAGACACGGUGCCGGUUAACGGCCGGCGGGGGCGACCCCAGGGAAAGUGCCACAGAGAACAGACCGCCGGGCUGGUUCGCCAGUCAGGCAAGGGUGAAACGGUGGGGUAAGAGCC